GAUGAACGCUGGCGGCGUGCCUAAUACAUGCAAGUCGAGCGGACUUAGAAAGCUUGCUUUCUAAGUUAGCGGCGGACGGGUGAGUAACACGUAGGUAACCUGCCUUGUAGACAGGGAUAACAUCGAGAAAUCGGUGCUAAUACCGGAUAUUUCAUUUUUGUCGCAUGGGGAGAAUGAGAAAGGUGGCGCAAGCUACCACUACGAGAUGGACCUGCGGCGCAUUAGCUAGUUGGUGAGGUAACGGCUCACCAAGGCAAUGAUGCGUUGCCGACCUGAGAGGGUGAUCGGCCACACUGGGACUGAGACACGGCCCAGACUCCUACGGGAGGCAGCAGUAGGGAAUCUUCCGCAACGGACGAAAGUCUGACGGAGCAACGCCGCGUGAGUGAUGAAGGUUUUCGGAUC
RNAcentral lists this ribosomal RNA (405 nucleotides) under uncultured bacterium. RNAcentral's name for it is "bacterial SSU rRNA". It matches the Rfam family "Bacterial small subunit ribosomal RNA", at positions 28 to 424 of the family's 1533-position model. The record is from RNAcentral.